CUUAGUGGCGGACGGGUGAGUAACGCGUGGGGAACCUGCCUUGCACCGGGGGAUAACACUUAGAAAUAGGUGCUAAUACCGCAUAAGCGCACAGAGCCGCAUGGCUCAGUGUGAAAAACUCCGGUGGUGCAAGAUGGACCCGCGUCUGAUUAGCUGGUUGGCGGGGUAACGGCCCACCAAGGCGACGAUCAGUAGCCGGCCUGAGAGGGUGAACGGCCACAUUGGGACUGAGACACGGCCCAAACUCCUACGGAAGGCAGCAG
Molecule: ribosomal RNA, 263 nt
Filed under: uncultured bacterium
Lineage: Bacteria
Description: partial 16S ribosomal RNA
Rfam family: Bacterial small subunit ribosomal RNA
Source: RNAcentral